GAGAAUAAAAAAUCCCUAGAAGAUAUACUACAUUUUUCACUAUCAUCCUUAGAAAAAAAGAAUUACGUAUCUUAGAGAUGAAAUAAAACUACUUCUCCGGGAAAAGGUAUCCAUAGUAAUAUUGUUAAUAUGUAGAAGAAAAAUCUAAAUAUAGGAUUUUUCUUUAUGUAUCAAUAUUAUGAAAUAAAGAAUAUUGUUUUGUACCCUCUUUUCUAAGUUUUAAAAUAGUUCCAAGUGAAGAUUGUGUUCAAAGUAGCCACAGACAAGAUGCUUGUAAAGACAAAAAUAAUGUUCAUUGCCCGAAGGAGAACAACUGUUGUGGUAAUAAGGCUAUUUUAAGGAGAGAAUAAGAGAGGUAUAUAUAGAAAAAUCUUUACUUCGUAAUAUUAGUAACAUAUAGUUAUAAUCUAUAUCAUCUUAUUAAUCUACAUAUAAGCAUACUACUUUAGAUACUAAGUACCUAUCGGGAGUUUAUCAUCUUGAUUAAUCAUACAGUACUGUUUAUAACAUUAUUUUUAUACUAUAAGUAUAAAUGAUAAAAGAUGAUGAUUGAAGCUCAAUAUCAUCUAAAGUUAGCCCUAAAAAGGUUAUGGAAAUAUCUAAUAGCCUUAAAUAAUCUUGAUGAAUUUAUCAUUGAGUUGGUAAAAGCCUACAAAACUGUAAAUCAACAUUUAUCUGUAUAGGAAGGAUUAUACAUAAAAUUCAAAUGAUUAGAGCACAAGAAUAUGUCUUGUAUCUAGAGGAUAAAAAUAAUAUUGAUAAAAAUAUUAUCUACACCACUUAAAUGAGCAGUAUAAAUUUCCUUCCGCAUAUUUACCCUAUAUAUAUAUAUAUACACAUACAUACAUACAUACAUACAUAUAUAUAUAUAUAUUAACUAAUCACCUGAAUCAUUUACAAAGCAAUCUAUACCACAUAGUUAGCUAAGUCUCACUGCUAGGACAACCACCCUAUCAAAAUACUACAACUAUCAACCCCAACAAACUAACAAAGUUGUCACUCUAAUGGUUGUACUACAUCUUUUGCAAAUUUGGAGCUCUAAAAUUAUAAGCAUAUGCAACAUUCUUAGUUAACCUGAAGUCAUCUACAAGAUUGGUGUUCAAAAAUUCUAAGCUUUCGCUCUUUCAAAUAGUGUGCUCAGUUUCAGCAACUACAAAUUGGAAUAUUUGGGCUAUUUAAGUAUUCCCCUUUUCACUCUUGUGUAUCAAUUGGAAAUAAAGGUCACAAUAUCCUCGUGUCAUCUUUUAUAUGCAUUCAAGUCAACACUUUAUGCCACAAUAGCCUCACAAAUAGAUACUAUAUACAAACAUGUAUUCUUUUGUUUCUCUUACAUGUUGAAAGAUGGAACAUAUGGGUUCAACCUUCACACCCCACUUGAUGAGCCUGACUUUGGUGAGCAACUUUGAUUGCAUAAGUAGCCACUAGUGAAUAUGGAUUUAGGUCUAGCAAGGUUGUCAACCAUCAAGCACUUUCAUGGCAUUCGAUCUAGCGCUCUCCCCAAUCAUUCCAAGAUAAAUUUAUUUUGUAAUACCUUAUUGUUUCUUUAUCAUGUGUUGCACUUGGUACCACUCUCUCCUAGCUUUCAAUAUUUUCCUUGUAAUCCAAUAAACUUGAGGAGGAAUAUUGAUAGCCUGCAGGUGAUGCUCCUUUAUGUAAUAAGUGUGUAUCCACGUGGUCUUCAUCUUAUCUUCUUUAUUUGUAAGAUCACAUAAUGUUUUUGUUAAGACAAUGUUGUUUCAUAGCUUUAAGUUUAUGAUGUUUAUUUAUCCCUUUUGCAGACUUGGGUAAACAUAUCCUAUCUCAAGCAACUAAAACUUUCUUGUUGUAUUUACUCCAAUCCAUUUUACCACCCUAUAAGGUGGAAAGAACAAUCGAGACCAAUUAAAUUGAGUACCAAACACUAUUAUUUGCAUUACCUGAAUUCUGUCUGCAUAAGAUAACUUCUUAGCUGUCUAUAAAGAAAUUCACUUCAUAAUCUUCCCAUAAGUGGUUGCCACUAGAUCAUAGUCAAUUUCUUAAUGAUAUUGGAACAUCUAAAUACUUAAAAGGUAAUUUUGUGUACCAACUUAUGCUAGCAUCCAUAUUCUUUUGUACCAUUGAAGAAUUCGACUGGCUAUCCUCCUACUUUGGGACCUGGUCCCAAACAAACAUAAACACCAAGAAUUUAAAUAGAAGAGUAUGUAACAGUAAAUAAACAAGGAACAUAGCAAAUUUUAGGUGGAAACUCCUUGCUUAAGGGAGAAAAACUUCGACCUGCCUUAAGGAUUUCCAACAGCUCCACUAAUAUUCAAGAAACCUUGAAUAUAGGCUCCAUGACAUCAAUGAUUAAACUCCUAAUUCUUCAUCAAAUAUUAAUACCUCUAUUACAAUGAACUCAAUGCAAUAACUCUAUUGCACACUGACCCAACUAACUCUAACUGAAUCACAAAGCUAACUCUAGAUUUUGUCAACUAAAUCUACAUAACAUUUUACCAAAAUAAUAAAAAGGAAAGCACCUAAUGAUAAUGAACUUAAAGUAGUACGCAAUGUUUCUAGACUCAAAAAUGAAGACUCAAGACAACAAGAGUUCUAAGGGACUGGCAAUGACUAAGUAGGUCCCUUAUUGUUGAUAAGCUUUUGAAUCAGCAAAGCUUCAACAGAUUUGAUGUGUUUUGGGAUAUGGAUGCAUUAAGUUUUUUUAUUGUUGAAAUGAGCAUUUAUAAGAGACAAGAAAACCUAGGAUUAAUCUUAUUGGUUGAGACAAAAAGGGUACAAGGCUUUUCAUCAACUUUUCUACGGUGUACUAUGUCCAUCUAUAGUACUGACCAAUGUCAAUGACGUGAAAUACGGUCAACUAGGUCCUUAAGUAGUUGUCGCUUUUGUCAUCACAAGAUCUUCAAGAACCAGGUCCCAAGGGAUAAUUUGUCAAUCAUCAAACUAAUGACUACACAGACUAUACCCCUCAUCUACACAUUAUACCCCUUAUCUUCCCUCUUUUGGAAUCAUAAAAGUCCUAAAAUAGUGAACCAAGUAGAGAUAAGCACACAUGUUAGCACAUGGACAUGGAGGCUACACUGACAUGAGCACAAAAAAUAAGAGAAAGUAAGAGAGAUGAUAACACAAAGCAGAUUCAUUCAUUUUUCAUAGAGGAUAGCAUCAUACAAAAUUUAAAAAAGAUAAUAGCAUUAAAAAACAAAAAUAGUAGUGUCAACACAACAAGAAAAAAACUUAAGGAGGCCAGACUUGGCGAGGCUUAAAAGGGGAAAAAACUGAGGACUCGAUUAGGGAGACACCUAGGAGGAAUGACCGAAAGGAGUUUGGGACAAUUAGUGAAGAAGCAUGGUUAUUCUCUCACUUUCUGGAAUAUGAGUCUUUAGGAGUUGUUGAGUUAAAUCCUUGAUAUUUGCAGUCGAAACCUCAACUUUUGCCUCCAAUUUCUUUAGAUUCUCAUACAAUUCUGCAUUUUCAGCACUUAAUUCUCUAUUGAACCUAGUCCCUCAUCGCUCCUUUUCACUAAGGAUGCCUUCAGAGAAAAAAAUUCUAUAUUUUUUUGUGCUACAAUGGCUUCCAUCUCAUCCAAUUAUUCCCCCAUCCCAGUUUGAACAUCAAUAAGCUCGACAACUAUGGAUUUGGAUUUCCCUUCACCUCUGCUAGGGAUGCAUUCAUUAUCAUCCAUGGUUGUUACAUUGAACACUUGAUUUACUGAACCUGUCUUUCAAAGGCCACACUAAUGUUAAAGUACAAACAGAUUUGGUUAAUCCAAAACACAUAGUUCAAUCCAUGUUUUCUAUCUUUUAUUGUCAUCACUGUGUUUAUAUGCUCAAUCACAGUAGCUAGGAAAUUUACCUUUUGAUAUUUGUACAUGGCCUUCAUAAAUGUAAUACCCCGACUUCCUUUAAGUCAAAUCUAGUCUCCAGAAGAGUUACUGAUGACAUCCUAAAUGAUUAAUAUUUAAAUCAGAUAGAAUUUCCCCAUUCCAUCAAAAUCUGACAUGGGAAUUUGAAUAAGCUUUCCAUCGAUACCCAUUCCGUCAAAAUCCAACGUAGAAAGAGAAAUUUAUGGCCAAAAUACAGAAAUCAGUCAAAACUGCCCAGGUGUGACGGUAGAGGCCGACGGACCAUCAAGCUAGCGAUGGACCGUCGCCCAAGCUAUCGCAGUGAAGGUAGUAAGACCAUAUUCUGCCUAAGGGCAACGGCUCAGGCCGACAGACCAUCAAGCUAGUGAUGGACCGUCGCCCAAGCCAUCAUAGCAGAGGCAGUAAACCCUUAUUCUGCCUAGGUACGACGGCCAAAACCAACGGACCAUCGACCCAGCAAUGGACCAUCGCACCUACCGUCAUAUAUUUGGUUCAGUUAUUUUAAGUCAUUUUUAAAAUGGGGAUUUUUGGUAUUUUACCACACUUUCUAAUACCUAGUUUUAUCAGAUGAAGGCUUAUAAGUUCAUUAUCCAUCUACAACAUCAAAUUAGGGUUUUCUCUCAAAGAUAAUCCCCAAGAACAAGAUCCAAAUCCUUCUUCAAGAAACUAAGAGAUUCAAGUUCUUCAAGUCAAAGGACUUCAAGGAACUCACAACCUAGUAUGUCAUGUGUUGAUCCAUGGGUCCCUUUCACCCAUGAAGCUCAAGAAUAUCUUUUCAAAAUCCAAGAUUUGUGUAUGUAUGAAUGUUUAUGAUUUAAAUUGAAUUGAAAUAUAAUGUUCAUGAUGUUGUGGGGUUUUGAUUCAUGUUUGAAAUUACAUAUUCCAAUGAUUGACCCUAGGAUGUCGUGAUUUGCAUAAUAAUCAUGAUAAGACCUUAAAUUUAGAUGUUGAUUGAUGUAUCCAUGAUUAUUAGAUGUGUUGAUGAUUGUAUAACCAAAGCAUGCUCCCAAUGUGUUCAAUUAAAAUCCUAUGUGAAGGAAAAGUGCCAUACUAGUAUGAUAAUAUGAAAUCCCCAUUUAUGUACAAGUUUAUGCAUGUCAAAUGUUUGAUGAAAUGUCUUAGUCAGUGAAUUAAGGAUACAUGUGUAACCCUUGUGGUGAUUUAUAACUUCUACUUCAUGAAAUCUCCAAGUUAUUGUAUUAUGGAUUGUGAUGUUGGUCAUGUAUUCAAGAAAGUCAUGCUUUGUCAGUUUCAUGCUAUCGAGUCCUGGGGGUACUUAUACCCUACAAUUUAGAUGUGUGUCUAGAGCCAGUGUUAUGUUUUCAAGAUACUCUCAGUCGAUCCAUGUUCAUAGAAAUUCAGUCAGUCAUGUGACUCAAGAAAACUCAAUAAUCUCAGUAGUAUUCUGUCAGUUAAUAGAACUCGGUUAAUUCAGUUUAGUCCAGUUUAGUUAAUCAUGUUCAGUGUCUAUUCAGAUGAGAGUAGGAAUUAGUAUCGAGUGAAACCAAGGAUGGGAACACACACUGUCAGAUGAGGGUGUGAUUCUUAAAAGUCAUCCUUACAUUCCAAAACUAUGUAGCCAGCAUAUGUUCAGACAUCAACACUGUCAGAUGAGGGUUGACAGUGUUGAUGAGGUAGAUAAGCACUGUCAGAUGAGGGGCCCACCAUUCUCUUUUAGGGUACUGUUAGAUUAGGGUUACCCAUAGAUUGUCAUUACUAGUGGGGCGGUAUUGACACCCUUUCAAUUAGGGUUACAAAUUAGAUCCCACCUUAGCUAUAUUACUUUAUUUGGGGUAUGUCGAUUAGAUGAAUACUUUCCAUAGUUUUAGUUAUAGAUCAGGACUGUCUGAUACAGUUAUUCAUUCUCAAUAAUAGAACUCAGAUAGUUCUACAGAAUUUAGGACUGUCAGAUACAGUCAAUUCAGAAUAGAACGGAACUCAGCUAGUUCCAUCAGAAACUAGAUUGUCAGAUACAGUCACUCAGUAUUAGUUAUUUAGUUAUACAGUUAUUAGUAUCUCUUGUUAUCAAUACUCAGAUUUAGUAAUCAUGUUAUCAUGAAAUCAGUUAUAGUUGUUAUGUAUUCAUGCAUGCGUUCUCACGUUCAUGUUAUCCAGCCAGUAAGUAUAGUUCAUGCAUGUGAGCCCUUUGCAUUCAGCCUACCUCACAUGCAUACCAGUAUAUUCAAUUGUACUAACACAUUUGUACUAUGGUGUUUUAGACCGUAGGUUCAGAAGCAUGAGCUCCAGAGCAUCAGUAGCAGUCAUAGUUAGUAGUGAGUCUUCAUCCUUCGAGGACAUGAUUAUUAUUUUAUUAUUUCAUUACUUAGUUUAUUUCAGUAGUUGGAGUUGGUUAGGGACAUGUCCCAUCAACUCCUUAUUUAGACAGUUUAGUUAGUUAGAGGCUUUUCAAACUAUAGUAUGUUCAGAUAGUUUAUUUUAGUUGUUUUGGGUAUUUCAUACCCCACCCAGAUGUUAUAUUUUAUUAGAUACUAUGUCUCAGUUUUGAACCUUAUGGCCUUUCAUCCUUUAUUUCCAUAUUUAUAUAGUAUAUUAAGCAGUAUACAGGUACAGAUAUUAGUCAUAGGUUAGCUUAUGGUCCUUUGGGGUCAUUAGCACCGUGUGGCAUUUCGGGUACGAGACUCACAGUGUUACAAUAAGGAAUAGGUUGGAAAAUAUCACUGUAGUCCUCUUCUAUAUAUGAGGAAGGAGCACCUUGUUUACCAACUCAAAAAUAAAUUGGUAUUCCCCUUCCAAAGCCUUCGUGGUCAUAUUUUUAGUAUUCAUAUCAUCUAGCUUUCUGUAGAUUUUUAGAAAAAAAUUUUAACCCUUUUUAUUACUUAGGUACCUGGUACCUUCAGUAGGUAUUCCAAGAAUCUCAAACAAUACUUAUUUAUCAAUUGUAAUGCUCACCUCAUUGAUUUGAGUAUUCAAUUAUAAAUCAUCAGCAGAGAAGGCUAGAUUGUGAUAAACAUUCUAAAAAAAAUUUCAUAUAGGGUAGGAACAGGAAACUCAAAAUGGUGUUCCUAACUUUAAAACUUUACCCAAUCCAACAACACAGUAUUCCUAGCAUAGCAGCACUAUCAGGGUCAAAAACUCAACCCCUUAAGACUUAAUUAGUCUUGAGAAUCUCCUAUCUGGAAUCCCUUGACAAACCCUUCUCUUUUUCUUUAGAAGAAGCUUUUCCAGAGGGACCAGUUCCUUUUGUAGAAACCCCAGGGUCUCUUAAGGUCUUAGAAGAUUUAGAAUUAGGACCUGGUCCUCGGUGCUAGACUUCUCAGUCCUUUUCCUCUGACCAAUGCUCGUGGUUAUAUGUUUAUUGAUCAUUACUCCUUUGGAUUUCUCUUUUUUGGGGAGAAACAAUAGCUUUUCUUUUGUGUUAGCUUUGGUGGUAGCCAUACUCUUUUCAAUAUUAAAAUUGUCAUCAACAUCCUCAUACAUAUCAUAGUUAUCAAACAUACUUCUAAAAAUAUUUUAAAGUCACUAUCAGAACUGUCAUUAAAAUCACUCUAAGUCUCCUUAUCAGAUUUCUCAACUGUCACACCCUUUUCAACUAGAGGUUCAACUACAAUCACUCUCUUCUUUUUCAACAUCCUCCUUUUCUUAGUAUUAUUUUUGUUUUCUUCCAAGGCUUCUUUCAUCAACUUCCAUGAAUUCAACCUAGUCCCUGGAGGUUUAACAGGUUUGGGUGGAGCUUUGGUAAAAGAAAAGGAUCCCUUCUUAGAUAUUUUUCAUGAUAAGGGUUGGUUAUCCUCACUAUUAGUAUCUUCUUUUUCAUUCGUAUCUCCACCAAACAGGUCGAGAACAGGGGAGAACAUUAUAGAAGAAAACACUAAGUUGUUAUCCUCAGCAUUCUCAGGAGGAUCAUUUUGCCUUCUUGUGAACAAUUUUACAGGAGUUGUCUCCCACUUUGGUGAGUCUAGAGUGCUAGGGUAUUUAGGAGGUUCUAUACUAAGGGUAGCGAGAUCUUGAACCCUAAUUUCCUCGCUUAUGGGAAGGAUGCUUAAAAAAGUUCCCUAAGAAGUCGACAAAUCCCCAUCAAACAUAUUUUUGUGAAUAGAGGCACUCCUAAACUUACUAGGUAACUUACCCUUAUCAGGAGAUACGCAUUGGAAGGAGAGUCCAAAACUGACUCAGAGGGAACUAAUUAAUUUGGGAUAGAAGGAAUUUCUUCAGAGACUUUGUCUUUGGAAGAGUUGAUUUUAGGGUCUUCUUAGAGACUUUGUCUUUGGAAGGAUCGAUUUUAGGGUCAGGGAUGGAGGGUGCAUCUUGGUUAGUUUUCCCUGAAAAGAAUGCAUCAGAUCAAUCCUUCUUUUUUUUGCACUAUCUUCUCUGGAAAUUUUAGGAAAGAAAAGGGGAAAGAACUUUGUAAUGGAAAAAGGAUUUUGAGAUUGAAAAUCAAAAGGAGGGGAUGGAGAAUCAACCACUUAUAAAGAAGAGGGCUCUUUUUGAGGAGGAAAUGAUAGUGGUAGAUUCGACAUGAUAGCUUAGAAAGAAUAUUAGGAAGAUUUAAGAUUUGAAAUAAGAUGAAGAAUGGGAAAAAGUUUGAAAACGAAUAGGCUACAAUUGGGAAGAUUUUUUAAAAUGGAUAGAUGAGAGAUUAGGCAUAACUUAAAUGGGAAAGAAGAGAAUGAUUCAAAUUUAGUGAAGGGUUGUGGUUGAUAAGAUGUGUUAGGUCAGAUGAGCGCGCCCUUUAGACUCAAAGUGGGGGUUACAACUUUUAAGAAUGGGAGGGAUAUGAUGUAGCAGACUUGUCACUUAAUUUAAAAAGCUACCGCUUAAGAAUAUGGUUUGAUACCAAAUGAAUGAGGGAUCUGGUCCCUCUAUGAAUUUCUGUGCAUAAUGAGCUUUGAGAUGUCUCAUCCCCCUCCGUUCUUCUCUUUCUUUCCAUGGUAUAUAUCAACAGAAGAUAUGAGACUGAAUUAGACAUAUGUUACAUUAUCAUACAAGGAUACCUUCUUAUCAAUUCAUAGCCACGUUGGGGGAUUAAUAUAAAUAACAUGCAUUUAGCUUGGUCUCAUUAUCCUCAGCUUUGUCUCAUUCUUUUCAAAUUGUUCCCUGCAAAGACCCUUAGUGAAUAUAUAUAUAAUUUGGUCUUAGAUACUUGAAAACCCCAUCUUAAUUAAUCCUUUCUCCAUAUUAUCUCUGGGAAAGUGAUGCCUGAUAUCAAUAUGCUUGGUUCUCUUGUGUUGAACUGGAUUUUUGGACAUGUUUACUGCACUUGUGUUGUCACAGGAUUGGGUAACACAAUCUAAGAUUAUACUUAAAUCUUCAAGUUGCCUCUUGAUCCAAAGUAAUUGAGCACAACAUGAAGUAGCUACAAUAAAUUUAGCUUCAGUAUUUGAAAGAGCCACUAAAUUUUGCUUCUUAGUACCCUAGAAAAUCAAGGAUGAUCUAAGAAAGUGAGACAUACUUGAGGUACUCUUUCUAUCAAUUAGGUACCCAGCAUAGUUAGAAUCUGCAUACCCAACCAAGUCAAAUUUAUCACCAGUAGGAUAGAAGAGGACCAAGUCAGGAGUUCCAUUGAGAAAUUUGAGAAUCCCUUUUAUAACUUUCAAGUGAGGAUGCCUUAGGACUUGCUUGGAACCUAGCACAUAUCCCAAUACUAAAUGUAAUGUUAGUUUUAUUAGUUGUCAAUUGGAGAAAUAAGACAAUGAUUCCUUUGUGCGUAGUUUCAUUAACAGAGGAACCAGGUUCAUCCAAGUCCAGAUUGGAGAAAGUUCUAAUAGGAGUGUCAAUAGGCUUUGCAUCCUCCAUGUGGAACCUUUUGAGCAACUCAUGAAUGUACUUCUGCUAACAUAUUUUAGUCCCAGUUGCACUUCGCAUAAUUUGUAGUCCAAGGAAUAAAUUGAGUUCUCCCAUCAUGCUCAUAUCAAACUAACUACUCAUUAACUUUGCAAACUUAUCACAUAGGGAAUUGAUUGUAGCUCUACUUUACAAACAAUUCUCCUUUGAGCAUCCCAUUCAGAAAAGCACUCUUAACAUCUAUUUUGAUUAAUUUGAAUUCUAUGUGUAAGACCUCGCAAAAUUCUAAGCUUGACUUAGUCCAUUAAAGAUUGAAAAUAGACCCCAGACUUAGAAAUUUUAGCUAAGUGUUUACACUUAGAAUUAUUUUAUCCUUCAUAAGUUGGCAAUCUUAUUUCACGAUCCAUACGACCUUUAAAUGUCAUUUUUUAGGUUGAUCCAUGAUCAGGAAUGUCAGUAGGUGUCCUAGACAAGUUUCAGAAUUUUGGGACCUCGUUUAAAUCAAGUUUGGGAGUCCAAACUAAUGGAUCGAUGUGAUAUCGACGAGACACACCGACUAUCACAGCGAUAAAUAUUUUUUCCAUCCAUAGCAUCGAUCCCAUUGAGUUGGUACAUCAGCCAUAGCAUCGAUCUCAUCGAUGAGGCACAUCGAGUUGCGCAUCACUGGGCACACUUUCUGUCAUUAAAAGGCACAUCCAGAGGGGUAUUUGGGUCAUUUUUCACCCUUAAUCAGCCCAUAAAUACAAAAUUCAGCCCUCAAUAAGCAAAAUACACUCACUUUCUGUCAAAUUCUCUCAAGACACAAACCCUAACCCAACACAGUCAAAAUCAAGAUCCAAGAAAUUCACCAUCAAUCUUCACAAAUUCAAGCAUCAAGGCAUGUUAGGUGUUCAUCCAAGGGUUUUCUUCCAUCCUUGGAGUUCAAGAACCCCUUUUAAAUUUAUAAGUUGAUUUCUUUCAUGAAUUUCAUGGUGAAUUAAUUGUAUUCAUGAUUAUGAUGUUAUUUGGGUUUUUAAUCCAUGAUUUAGUACAAGAUUCAUGUAAAUUUAUUUGACAUGUGUGUGGUAUUAUGUGAAUUUAUGUUUAAGCCAUUGAAAUUGUAAGUUGGGGUUUUGAAAUCAUGAGGCCUACAUGUUAUUUAGUAUCAUGUGUAUAGAUUAUGUUCCCCAAAUAUUUGAUAGAAUGCCCUUGUGAUUAAACGGUGAAAUAAUGACAUUCUAGUAUAUGUACAAGCUUAUGCCCUACAGGUGUUAGAUGAAAUGCUUAUGUGAUUUGACCAGUGAAAUAAUGACAUGUUAUGUGAAUCCUUCCAUUCACAAGUUUGUGUAUGUCAAGUGAUUGACAAAAUGUCUAAAUGAGUGCAUUGUUAGCAAGCAAGUAUUGUUAUGCCUUUAUAAUCAUGCUAUGUUUUACUUUCCAUGCUAUCGAGUCCUGGAGGUAUUUAAUACCCAAUAAUUUAGCAUUGCACCUAGAUCCAGUGUCAGUUAUAGAAUCUCAGUCAUGUCACAAUCAGUAGUACUCUCAAUCAGUUACAGAACUCAAUAGAACUUGAUCAGCUAUAGAAUUUAGGAAAACUCAGUAAUCUCAAGUAUCAGUCCUGUCCUGUUUAGUAUACUCAAUUCAAUGUCUUUUAGUUGGGAGUAGGAUUCAGCAUCGAGUGAUCCUAGGGAUCGGGCCUCACUUGUUAUCUAGGACUAGGUCCCUAGAAGCAAUCCCUAAGUUCCAAAACUACGUAGCCAGUGUAGGUUAUGAGAUGCCACCUGCUAGAUAGGACUGACAAUCUCUGGGAUUACUCGUUAGUUAGGACUGAUCUCAGGAGUCACCCUCUAGAUUAGGACUAACUCCACAGCCAGUGUUAGUACCCGUGGCAUGGUACUAGCACCCUUCCAACUGGGGUCACAGGUUGGAAUCCUAUCAACUUAGAUUUGGGACAUAUCGGUUAGAUGAUUACCUCCCACAGUUUUAGUUUUAGUCUCAGUAUAGAACUCAGUUCAGUUCUACAAAAUCAGGACUAUCAAACACAGUCACCUAGCUUAGUAUAGAACUCAGUUCAGUUCUAUAGAAUCAAGACUGUCAGAAAUAGUCACCCAGCUAUCAGUAACACAGUUAUUAGUAAUUUUAGAUAUCAUUCACUCAGUUAAUAUCAGAACUACAGUAUUAGUAAACUUAAAUAUUAGUUAAUCAGUAACCAGUGUUAACAUGAUCUCAGUUAUAUUUUAUAUAUUCAUCUAUGUACUCUUAUUCAGUUACGUCUAUGUUACUCAACUAGUUGAUAUCCAUGCAUAUAAACCCAUGGAUAUAAGCCCACCUCACUUAGAAUACCAGUACAUUCAAAGUACUGACUCAUAUUUUUCUUUUGUGCUAUGAUGUCUUAUAUCAUAGGUUCAGACGCACGGGCUCUUAACCACUCUUAGCAGCCUGGAUUAUUAGCAGAAAAUUUAGUAGUGAGUCCUCAUCUAUCAAGGGCAUGCUUUUAUUUCAGUUAUUAGUUUAUCAGUAGUUGGAGUUAGUUGGGGGCUUGUCCCAUCUACUCCAUAUUCCGACAGUUCAGUUAGAGGCUUUUCAUACUAGACUUUCAGAUAGUAUUCAAUUGUACAACUUAUUAUUUCAGCUGCUAUUUUGUUUAGUAUUUCAGGUUUUGAACCUUAUGGCAUUUCAUCCUAUUUUUUUGUAUUUAUUUUAAUGAUGUUACUUAUUUCUCAUAGUAGAUAUCAGUCAUGAGUUAGCUUGUGGUCCUUUGGGGUCAUAAGCAUCGUGUAUCAU
Molecule: long non-coding RNA, 12340 nt
Filed under: Capsicum annuum
Lineage: Eukaryota; Viridiplantae; Streptophyta; Magnoliopsida; Solanales; Solanaceae
Description: long non-coding RNA (CANN_LNC015234)
Source: RNAcentral